Molecule: long non-coding RNA, 1328 nt
Organism: Junco hyemalis (dark-eyed junco)
Lineage: Eukaryota; Metazoa; Chordata; Aves; Passeriformes; Passerellidae
Source: Ensembl
CCAGUUCCUGCCUGGACUGCUGCUGCCUGCUUUGGGAGCGGUCCUGGGGGUUAAUGCUUCACUGGACCGUGGCCUCUUUUUGCAGCAGCUCCAGAACGCUCUCAUCCCACUGACCCUGCCUAUCCUAGGCAGGCAGGUUGUGCCAGCAUCCCAGAAACUGCAGAUAAAUUCCAUGUUAGAGGAGCACACUUGACCAGCUAACAGCUCAGAGCAGAUGGCCUUCCGGAGACACGCUGGGCGAGUGGAAAAUGUAAUGAAAUUCCCAGAGCCUCCUGGUGCACUACCAAGAGCCGUAUGUCUCCGAAGGAAGGCCCAGCUCUGCCAUUUGAACAAUCCUCCUCCAUCUGCUGCUCCUGCUCCUGGAGCUGUGUGGAGUGGCAGCGCGGUGACGCCGGGCCUGCAGACACUGCCUCGGUCCCUCUGGCACUGCUGUGCUUCCAGGGAGCCAGGCUGGAUCCACAAGAAGAUGUGUCUAUUCUUGCACCUCUGUUUUGAACAAAAGGUGGAUGUUUCAGAAGCUGUUCAACUUAUUUACUGGCUGCACUCUUAAAUCCAAACUAAUCUGUACAUUACAAACCCUGAACUCCAGCACUUCUGAGAGCUGAGAACUGCUGUUUCCAUUUGUGCUAAACUUCUGGACAUGGAAAUCAGAAAUUGACAUUCACUUUUUGGGAACGGUCAUGGAGGAUCCAUCUUUUCCCAUCCCAUGGCAUGGUCACCACCCUCCCCAAUGGGAGUUUCUGUCAUCAUUCCUGGCAUCCCAUUCCCAACCUUUUGUGGGGCUACCUUUUUGUGUUCAGCUAAUGACACCAUUCUAAAAUACACAGAACCCCUCUGAUCUCUGUUUUUCAGAGACAGCACCCUUGGUUCUGGUGUCCUGAUUAGAGAUGUGCCCUUUGCAGUGAUUUGGAGCUGUGAAAUGGCUCCUGUCGCUCCACUCUGAGCCUGUGGGUAUCUCACAGGAUAAAUCUGGAAGAGCUGUAGAGCGCAGAUGAUUUUUGGCAAGUAUCAUUUUAUCAUCAAAAUUUUAUUUUUGGGUCGCUCUUCAGCUGCCGCCUUCUGUGAAGGAGAACGACGCCCAUUUGAUGGCUUUUAUUCUGGAUUCCCGAGCAGUCUCCUCUGCUUAGAGCACAAUUAAUGGCAGCUCUGGCUGAGAUAAUGGGAGGUGGGGAUGGAUGCAUGGAGCUGGAACUGAGGUGGACUGUCACCUUUGUCUGAACGUGGAGACACAGCUCAUGUCCUCAGAGCUGGGAGAGUCACAGCAAGCCAGGCAGAAAAUAUAUUUUAUUUGAAAUAAAUUGUAAUUAUUAUUUUUAAAUUAUUUUAAA